This 407-nucleotide transfer-messenger RNA is filed under the name Candidatus Taylorbacteria bacterium CG11_big_fil_rev_8_21_14_0_20_46_11. It matches the Rfam family "transfer-messenger RNA". From Rfam's summary of the family: Bacterial tmRNA, also known as 10Sa RNA or SsrA, is named for its dual tRNA and mRNA-like properties. The record is from RNAcentral. RNAcentral also lists the same sequence under 1 other name. Lineage: Bacteria; Candidatus Tayloriibacteriota.
GGGGAUGACAGGCAUAGACAUAUGAUCUACUUCUUUUUGCGCAUUGUGGAACUCCAGUACUUCCUUAAACUGCUGGAACAAUUAAGUGCAAAAACCUUAAUUUCAAAGGCCAAGUCCAUCGUCUCACCAUAUUUUGGUGAACGUGAGCUCGCUUUCGCUUACGCUUCGGCGUAGGUGACGCUUAUCUUUCCGACGUCCGAUAGGGAUACAUAAGUGUUAUACAAUCGGAAUCGAGUGUGUUCCUUUCUCGGCUCACACUUUAACUAAAGAGAAUCGGCACUUGAGAUAUUCUGCUACUCUUAUAGUCUCCGUGCUUAACGUCCGCAAGGACAAAAGAGUACCUAUACAAUGUAGACCCAGAAAAAAGAAUUAUGUGCACGGGAGUUCAAUUCUCCCCUUCUCCACAU